Molecule: long non-coding RNA, 356 nt
Organism: Magallana angulata
Lineage: Eukaryota; Metazoa; Mollusca; Bivalvia; Ostreida; Ostreidae
Exons: 3
Source: RefSeq, a predicted model, not a curated record
AUGCCAUACAAUGAACAUUCCAUUCAAUUUAAUUAUUUUUAGUUACACAUGUAGCCCCUUUCAUUAAAGAAAAAGAGGCAUCCACUGGGUUAAGCGCAGAAAAAUAUAAGGAUGCAGCAAGGUUAGCACAUCCAACAAAACAGUUCACCGAAGUAAAUCAGAUUGCUGACUUGGUACUGUUCCUUUGUUCCCCAGCAGGGAAAAACAUGACAGGAACAGCUAUUGGAUAGGGGAAUCACAGUCUCCUGAACAGAGGAACAGAGAUAAGCGAGAUAAAAGUUAAAGCAGAAUGGAGUAACAAAUACAUGUAGACAGGCAGACAUGCUCUGUAAAAUAAAAAUGAUUCUGUUGUUUUU